Engraulis encrasicolus (European anchovy) is the source of this 229-nucleotide long non-coding RNA. RefSeq lists it as uncharacterized. NCBI's taxonomy places the organism in Eukaryota, Metazoa, Chordata, Actinopteri, Clupeiformes, Engraulidae. The record is from RefSeq and is a predicted model, not a curated record. The transcript is spliced from 3 exons.
GGCUUUGUUAAGCUCUAACGUCUUUCUUUCAAGCUGGUGUCAUGUUCCCUGGAUUUAAACCGAAGAGAACCUCCUAGAGACUUCAGUAGGCUUUUACAGAUGUAUUGACCAGAUGUCCUGGAAGUGCCCCCUGAUGCAGACCCAGUUGUUGGGUAGCCACCCAUGCACGUUGACACAGCCCCCAGCAGUGGGCACCCAUGGGGAUGGACCCAGGAGUGGAGGAUGACCC